AUGGAGGAGCAGAUUGCCGCACACGUCAAGUCCGUCAACGAGGGCCGCGCGGCCAACGAUGCGCGUCUGGAGGUGAUCCAGGCGUCUCUCGAGCUGUGGCAACCAUCGGUGAUGAAUCUUCAACACCAACUCGAUGAACUGCGCACGCAAGUGGGGCGGAUCGCUCUUCACCCCGCGCUGGCUGAUCCGAGCGGCGCAGAAGGGGAUCCGACGGUGGAUCCGGCGGUGCGUCCCGCGGCGGCACAUCCCAAGCCUGCCACGACGCACCAUGGGCCAAGUGGCCACAACGACAUCAUCGAAUUCGGGGGAUCGGCUCACAGGGUGGUCACCACCCUGGUGCCUCCUCCGGUCAAGGGUGUGUUAACUCUACCUCCCCUUGAACUUCCUACAUAUACAUCAGUAGGUGUCAUUCAGGAGCAAGAGCAGCACUCACCACACACGCCUCACUCUCCUCAUCACAGUUGGUCUCUUCCCCGGCUUGAUUUCCCAUCACUCGACGGGGACAAUCCUCAGUUUUGGAAGGCCAGAUGCAAAAAAUAUUUUGAGGUGUAUGGGAUUCAGCGAGACAUGUCUAGGAGGCACAUCGUGGUUCCUUUACUUGGGAGGAGUUAUGCGUCACCGUCUGUGCUAAAUUUUGCCGGGAACGGAGGAGCUCUUGGCAAGCAUGCCAUGGAAGGAUCAGCCGCGGCACGAGUAGGGUGCACCAUGCGCCCUGAUUCGACCGUUGUUGGCUUUGGGCGCACCUCCCCCACGGCCAGACGGGGCGAUGAUCGCAUCACGGCGCUCCGCAACUACAGGCGUGCCCGCGGGCUCUACUUCAAAUGUGGGGAGCGUUGGGGGCAACGCCACCAAUGUGCUGCCACGGUCCAAAUUCAUGUAGUUGAAGAGCUGUGGGAAAUGCUUCAAGCUAAAGUGGACGAUCGGCACCGGCAUGAAUCAGAUUCGGAAGAGGAACAACUUAUGUCAAUAUCCAAACUGGCCACAACGGGGGCAACGACACCCCACACCGUCAGAUUCCUGGGUGCGAUCGAAGGGCAUGAAGUUCUCAUACUUAUGGAUUCAGGGAGUUCUCAUAGUUUUAUCAGCGAGGCGGUGGCAGAGUUGAUUGUUGAACAGGUGUUGCCAAUGGAUCCAUUGUCAGUCAAAAUUGCAGAUGGGGGCAUCGACUGGUUGGAUCAGUGUGGACCAAUGUUGGUUGACUGGGCAGCCAAAACAUUGCAGUUUGACCGGGAGGGGGAGCAAAUUGUGUUGAAGGGGCCGCAACCGCAAGUCCAACAAGUGCAGCAGGCCACUUUGUCGCAGCUCCUCAAGAUGGAACAAGGCAACUCAAUUGCGCACAUCGUGAUGAUUUGUGCAGCAGAAGAGCUAGAAGGAAACGAGCGAGUGCCUCGAGUGAUACAACAUAUCCUCGAUGACUUUCAAUCAGUGUUUGCAGAACCGACCAAUGUACUUGAGCACAGAGAAUGGGAUCAUGCCAUCCCCCUCAUUGCAGGUGCAAACCCCAUCAACAUGCGUCCGUACAGAUACACACUGGAGCAAAAAGAUGAAAUAGAAGCACAAUUCACUAUUCAGUAUAAGGCGGGGCUAAUCAACAGAGCUGCGGAUGCGCUUUCUCGUCGCGCACCCGGACAGGAAACAGAAAUGGCAGCGAUCUCGGUGCGCAAGCCUACGUGGCUGGAAGCAAUCAAACAAAGCUAUCGGCAAGAUACCGCAGCUACUCAGCGCAUGACAAAGUUGGCGCUGGCUCCGGACAGUGACCCAGGAUUUUCCUUGCAAGACGACUCUUGGAAGGUUAUCUGUAAUUCUGACCUUAGAAUUUUUUUGAGGGGAUUUGCGCUUAGAUGGGUGGCUGGACCUCCGCGCGAGAGUGCCCCUGCUGCCGUCCUUCGUCCUUCGCCUGCUGCUCCUCCUCUCAACACUGUUGCUGCUCCUCUUCUUCUUUUCUUUCCUUUCUGCUCCAUGCCUGCCCAUCUUGCCCCCCUACUGAUCAAUGAAUUUGGCAGUCAACUGCCAACAUUCAAAAAAAAAAACUGCUGCUCCUCCCUCUUCCCACGUCCUUGCUGCUGCACUGCUUGCGCCCGACCUCUGCUCCUCCCCCUCGUCUCUUCUGCUGCUGCUCUUCCCUGCUGCCCUUCUCUCAAUCCCACGCUGCUGCUCCUUCUUCUCCUCAUCAGCCGAUCCCCUUUUCCCCAUCCUCUCCCUCUCUACUCCUAUCCCUAGAUCGAGGUCCAUAACACUCCUCUCCCUGCGCUCCGCGAUACCUCCCGCCGUUCCCCUCUCCAAACCCUCACCCACGCCCACCAGAAGAUUCCCCCAACAACAAUGGCGGAAAACGACUACGAGCGCCUUCGCCAGGCCAACAUCCGGCGCAACCAGGAAAAGCUUGCCCUCCUCCGCCGCAAGGCCGACGAGCUCUCCGCCCUUGCUAAACCUAAGCGAAAGCGACCGUAUCAGGUCAGGCCCAAGGCCCCGACCGGCCCCGUCCGCUCCUCCGGCCGCGCCCGCGGCAUCGCUCCCGACAACCUGCCCCCGGAUCUCAGCCUCUCACCCUCGCUCGCCUCCUCCAUCCUCGGGGGCGGGGCUGGGGCUGGGGCUAAGGUUCGUUCGGCGGACGACUUCGAUGCUGGGAGGGACAUGGUGCUGAUGCGCGCGCACGUGAGAAACGUGGUGCCCUGUAGCAUAGAGUCGAUGCGGGUCCUCCCGCUCGCCGACCGGACCGUGGUGGCGGCGGGAGACAAAAGGGGGAAUAUCGGGUACUGGGACGUCGACGGUGUCUCGGAGGAUGCCGACGGUGUGGAUGGGGUCGUCUUCAGUUAUUGGCCACACAAGUGCCCUGUGUCAGCAAUCGUGGCGCACCAGGCGGCACCACACAAGGUUUACAGCUCUAGCCAUCAGGGUGAAAUUUGUCUUAUGGACUUUGAGAAGGAGAAGUACAGUAUGGUCCAUUUAUGGGAGCGGCCUGUUUAUUCACUUUGUCAAGCACAAAAUAGUGCCCGAUGCCUAUAUUUUGGUGAUGAAAAGGGUGGCUUGACACUUUUCGAUGAGCGCGAGGGUAAGGUGUUAACUACAUGGGAUGUGCAUGAGGAGAAAAUCAACUCAAUAGAUUUUCAUCCGGAGAAGCCACAUAUGCUUGCUACCAGUUCAACGGAUCAAACAGCCUGUAUAUGGGAUGUGAGAAAUAUAAAAAGUAAGGAGCCAGAUAGCCUGAAAGUUUUCAAACUUCACAAAUCUGCUCAGUCAGCUUAUUUCUCACCUAGUGGCCGCAUGUUAGCAGUAACAAGAGCCGAGAGACGAGUUCGCGAACGAGGAACCUGUUGAGUACGCUUACGAGGAUCAAGCUUUUGACAACUCUGAGAACCUUGCAGCUCUAGCUACAGCAUUUGUGGUACUGUCCGAGUAUUUUGCGUGGAUGACUUUGAAAAUUCGCAUAGUGUGGAGUAUAAUAACCAGACAGGCAUUUGGCCUUCUGCAUUCAAGGUAAUCUGGGGCUGGAACGACACCGACCUAUAUGACAGUGGCCUCUCGGCUCAGAACAGCUCAGUUCUUAAGAGUGAACACAUGACAUCCAUUCCAAACCGGCUUUCUGCACACCCAUAUAAAGUUGGCUAUCUUGCCUGUUCAAGCUGCACUAGCAAGGUGUACCUUUGGACCAGAGCUUAAAUCAAAAAGAUUUCUAGUAGCUGACUUGUGAACUGUUCCUGGCUUUGUUAUUACCAAGUCAUGCUUGGAAGAUUAUCUGUAUUUUUGGUAGUUGUAACACCUAAUCUUCCUUGACAUCCUGCCCAAGAAAUGUAUAACAUUUGUACUAAGUAUUAUUCUACCAUUUGAUAUUUAAGAUGGUGGACCUGCUGAGUGUUGUGCUACGAGGA
RNAcentral lists this ribosomal RNA (3869 nucleotides) under Triticum aestivum (bread wheat). Its description in RNAcentral is "partial small subunit ribosomal RNA". The record is from RNAcentral. Lineage: Eukaryota; Viridiplantae; Streptophyta; Magnoliopsida; Poales; Poaceae.